GAAAUGCGAUACGUAAUGUGAAUUGCAGAAUUCAGUGAAUCAUCGAAUCUUUGAACGCAAAUUGCGCUUUUGGGUCACCCUGAGAGCAUGCCUCGUUCAGUAUCGUUUCUACCCACAUCUAAAGCUUAGGCUUUGGGAAAAUGAGGCGUCUUUAUGCUUUGUCAUAAAGUCCCUUGAAGUCUAUCGAGUUGUAACCUAAUUGUGUUCCUUUUCUUUCCUUAAUCGGAUUGAAAGCCUUUUAAACUCAGUCUCAAUGGAGAUACUUGACCUUGUGUCAUUCUUUUCAUUGAUUCCGGCUGAACUAAUUGGAGUAGCAUGACGGGAUUCUACGACUUUUUAAACUUUGCUUAUAUAAUAGCAAAAACACCUAACGAUCUGAUCUGAACUGAGGUAGGAUUAC
This 400-nucleotide unclassified non-coding RNA is filed under the name uncultured fungus. Its description in RNAcentral is "sequence contains ITS1". The stretch from base 1 to 105 matches the Rfam family "5.8S ribosomal RNA", at positions 50 to 154 of the family's 154-position model. Lineage: Eukaryota; Fungi. The record is from RNAcentral.